CUUAACACAUGCAAGUCGAACGGUGAAGCAGAGCUUGCCCUGUGGAAAGGGCGAACGGGUGAGUAACACGUGAGCAAUCUGCCCCUGACUCUGGGAUAAGCGCUGGAAACGGCGUCUAAUACCGGAUACGAGCUGCGACCGCAUGGUCAGUAGCUGGAAAGAAUUUCGGGUCAGGGAUGAGCUCGCGGCCUAUCAGCUUGUUGGUGAGGUAAUGGCUCACCAAGGCGUCGACGGGUAGCCGGCCUGAGAGGGUGACCGGCCACACUGGGACUGAGACACGGCCCAGACUCCUACGGGAGGCAGCAGUGGGGAAUAUUGCACAAUGGGCGCAAGCCUGAUGCAGCAACGCCGCGUGAGGGAUGACGGCCUUCGGGUUGUAAACCUCUUUUAGCAGGGAAGAAGCGAAAGUGACGGUACCUGCAGAAAAAGCGCCGGCUAACUACGUGCCAGCAGCCGCGGUAAUACGUAGGGCGCAAGCGUUAUCCGGAAUUAUUGGGCGUAAAGAGCUCGUAGGCGGUCUGUCGCGUCUGCUGUGAAAACCCGAGGCUCAACCUCGGGCCUGCAGUGGGUACGGGCAGACUAGAGUGCGGUAGGGGAGAUUGGAAUUCCUGGUGUAGCGGUGGAAUGCGCAGAUAUCAGGAGGAACACCGAUGGCGAAGGCAGAUCUCUGGGCCGUAACUGACGCUGAGGAGCGAAAGGGUGGGGAGCAAACAGGCUUAGAUACCCUGGUAGUCCACCCCGUAAACGUUGGGAACUAGUUGUGGGGUCCAUUCCACGGAUUCCGUGACGCAGCUAACGCAUUAAGUUCCUCCGCCUGGGGAGUACGGGCCGCAAGGCUAAAACUCAAAGGAAUUGACGGGGACGCGCACAAGCGGCGGAGCAUGCGGAUUAAUUCGAUGCAACGCGAAGAACCUUACCAAGGCUUGACAUAUAGAGGAANCGUCUGGAAACAGUCGCCCCGCAAGGUCUCUAUACAGGUGGUGCAUGGUUGUCGUCAGCUCGUGUCGUGAGAUGUUGGGUUAAGUCCCGCAACGAGCGCAACCCUCGUUCUAUGUUGCCAGCACGUAAUGGUGGGAACUCAUGGGAUACUGCCGGGGUCAACUCGGAGGAAGGUGGGGAUGACGUCAAAUCAUCAUGCCCCUUAUGUCUUGGGCUUCACGCAUGCUACAAUGGCCGGUACAAAGGGCUGCAAUACCGUGAGGUGGAGCGAAUCCCAAAAAGCCGGUCCCAGUUCGGAUUGAGGUCUGCACCUCGACCUCAUGAAGUCGGAGUCGCUAGUAAUCGCAGAUCAGCAACGCUGCGGUGAAUCCGUUACCGGGU
Molecule: ribosomal RNA, 1320 nt
Filed under: Microbacterium sp.
Lineage: Bacteria; Bacillati; Actinomycetota; Actinomycetes; Micrococcales; Microbacteriaceae
Description: bacterial SSU rRNA
Rfam family: Bacterial small subunit ribosomal RNA
Source: RNAcentral